This 392-nucleotide ribosomal RNA is filed under the name uncultured bacterium. RNAcentral's name for it is "partial 16S ribosomal RNA". It matches the Rfam family "Bacterial small subunit ribosomal RNA", at positions 523 to 918 of the family's 1533-position model. The record is from RNAcentral.
AUACGGAGGAUCCGAGCGUUAUCCGGAUUUAUUGGGUUUAAAGGGUGCGCAGGCGGCCAUUUAAGUCAGCGGUUAAAUCGUGGGGCUCAACCCCAUUCUGCCGUUGAUACUGGGUGGCUUGAUUGCGGUCGAGGUUGGCGGAAUUCGUUGUGUAGCGGUGAAAUGCAUAGAUAUGACGAAGAACACCGAUUGCGUAGGCAGCUGACCAGACCGCAAAUGACGCUCAUGCACGAAAGUGCGGGGAUCGAACAGGAUUAGAUACCCUGGUAGUCCGCACAGUAAACGAUGAAUACGUGUUUUCGGCGAUAUAAUGUCGGAGGCAAAGCGAAAGCGAUAAGUAUUCCACCUGGGGAGUACGCCGGCAACGGUGAAACUCAAAUGAAUUGGCGGGG